Molecule: ribosomal RNA, 357 nt
Filed under: uncultured Pelotomaculum sp.
Lineage: Bacteria; Bacillati; Bacillota; Clostridia; Eubacteriales; Desulfotomaculaceae
Description: bacterial SSU rRNA
Rfam family: Bacterial small subunit ribosomal RNA
Source: RNAcentral
ACAGGGAGACAGGUGGUGCAUGGUUGUCGUCAGCUCGUGUCGUGAGAUGUUGGGUUAAGUCCCGCAACGAGCGCAACCCCUACGUUUAGUUGCUAACAGGUGAAGCUGAGCACUCUAGACGAACUGCCGUUGACAAAACGGAGGAAGGUGGGGAUGACGUCAAAUCAUCAUGCCCCUUAUGUUCUGGGCUACACACGUGCUACAAUGGCCGGUACAGACGGAGGCGAAGCCGCGAGGCGGAGCAAAUCCGAAAAAGCCGGUCUCAGUUCGGAUUGCAGGCUGCAAUUCGCCUGCAUGAAGUCGGAAUCGCUAGUAAUCGCAGGUCAGCAUACUGCGGUGAAUACGUUCCCGGGCCUU